This 89-nucleotide transfer RNA is filed under the name Candidatus Bathyarchaeota archaeon. RNAcentral's name for it is "tRNA-Thr". It matches the Rfam family "tRNA". Rfam says of the family: Transfer RNA (tRNA) molecules are approximately 80 nucleotides in length. The record is from RNAcentral. Lineage: Archaea; Thermoproteati; Candidatus Bathyarchaeota.
GCCCCGGUAGCUCAGCGGUUAGAAGAUAUGACCACAGCGACGGCCUUGUAAGCCGUAGGUCGCGGGUUCGAAACCCGCCCGGGGCUCCA